This is a long non-coding RNA of Oncorhynchus keta (chum salmon), 2775 nucleotides long. RefSeq lists it as uncharacterized. Lineage: Eukaryota; Metazoa; Chordata; Actinopteri; Salmoniformes; Salmonidae. The record is from RefSeq and is a predicted model, not a curated record. The transcript has 12 exons.
UUAUGUAGUCACUGUUGUAGUGGGUGGUAGGUAGGUUAUAUAGUCACUGUUGUAGUGGGUGGUAGGUAGGUUAUAUAGUCACUGUUGUAGUGGGUGGUAGGUAGGUUAUAUAGUCACUGUUGUAGUGGGUGGUAGGUAGGUUAUAUAGUCACUGUUGUAGUGGGUGGUAGGUAGGUUAUAUAGUCACUGUUGUAGUGGGCGGUAGGUAGGUUAUAUAGUCACUGUUGUAGUGGGCGGUAGGUAGGUUAUAUAGUCACUGUUGUAGUGGGUGGUAGGUAGGUUAUAUAGUCACUGUUGUAGUGGGUGGUAGGUAGGUUAUAUAGUCACUGUUGUAGUGGGCGGUAGGUAGGUUAUGUAGUCACUGUUGUAGUGGGUGGUAGGUAGGUUAUAUAGUCACUGUUGUAGUGGGUGGUAGGUAGGUUAUAUAGUCACUGUUGUAGUGGGUGGUAGGUAGGUUAUAUAGUCACUGUUGUAGUGGGCGGUAGGUAGGUUAUAGUCACUGUUGUAGUGGGUGGUAGGUAGGUUAUAUAGUCACUGUUGUAGUGGGCGGUAGGUAGGUUAUAGUCACUGUUGUAGUGGGUGGUAGGUAGGUUAUAUAGUCACUGUUGUAGUGGGUGGUAGGUAGGUUAUAUAGUCACUGUUGUAGUGGGUGGUAGGUAGGUUAUAUAGUCACUGUUGUAGUGGGUGGUAGGUAGGUUAUAUAGUCACUGUUGUAGUGGGUGGUAGGUAGGUUAUAUAGUCACUGUUGUAGUGGGUGGUAGGUAGGUUAUAUAGUCACUGUUGUAGUGGGCGGUAGGUAGGUUAUAUAGUCACUGUUGUAGUGGGCGGUAGGUAGGUUAUAUAGUCACUGUUGUAGUGGGUGGUAGGUAGGUUAUAUAGUCACUGUUGUAGUGGGUGGUAGGUAGGUUAUAGUCACUGUUGUAAUGGGCGGUAGGUUAUAUAGUCACUGUUGUAGUGGGCGGUAGGUAGGUUAUAUAGUCACUGUUGUAGUGGGCGGUAGGUAGGUUAUAUAGUCACUGUUGUAGUGGGCGGUAGGUAGGUUAUAUAGUCACUGUUGUAGUGGGUGGUAGGUAGGUUAUAUAGUCACUGUUAUAGUGGGCGGUAGGUAGGUUAUAUAGUCACUGUUGUAGUGGGUGGUAGGUAGGUUAUAUAGUCACUGUUGUAGUGGGUGGUAGGUAGGUUAUAUAGUCACUGUUAUAGUGGGUGGUAGGUAGGUUAUGUAGUCACUGUUAUAGUGGGUGGUAGGUAGGUUAUAUAGUCACUGUUAUAGUGGGUGGUAGGUAGGUUAUAUAGUCACUGUUAUAGUGGGUGGUAGGUAGGUUAUAUAGUCACUGUUGUAGUGGGCGGUAGGUAGGUUAUAUAGUCACUGUUGUAGUGGGCGGUAGGUAGGUUAUAUAGUCACUGUUGUAGUGGGCGGUAGGUAGGUUAUAUAGUCACUGUUGUAGUGGGCGGUAGGUAGGUUAUAUAGUCACUGUUGUAGUGGGCGGUAGGUAGGUUAUGUAGUCACUGUUGUAGUGGGCGGUAGGUAGGUUAUAUAGUCACUGUUGUAGUGGGUGGUAGGUAGGUUAUAUAGUCACUGUUGUAGUGGGCGGUAGGUAGGUUAUAUAGUCACUGUUGUAGUGGGCGGUAGGUAGGUUAUGUAGUCACUGUUGUAGUGGGCGGUAGGUAGGUUAUAUAGUCACUGUUGUAGUGGGUGGUAGGUAGGUUAUAUAGUCACUGUUGUAGUGGGCGGUAGGUAGGUUAUAGUCACUGUUGUAGUGGGCGGUAGGUAGGUUAUAGUCACUGUUGUAGUGGGCGGUAGGUAGGUUAUAUAGUCACUGUUGUAGUGGGCGGUAGGUAGGUUAUAUAGUCACUGUUGUAGUGGGUGGUAGGUAGGUUAUAGUCACUGUUGUAGUGGGCGGUAGGUUAUAUAGUCACUGUUGUAGUGGGCGGUAGGUAGGUUAUAUAGUCACUGUUGUAGUGGGUGGUAGGUAGGUUAUAUAGUCACUGUUGUAGUGGGCGGUAGGUAGGUUAUAUAGUCACUGUUGUAGUGGGUGGUAGGUAGGUUAUAUAGUCACUGUUGUAGUGGGCGGUAGGUAGGUUAUAUAGUCACUGUUGUAGUGGGUGGUAGGUAGGUUAUAUAGUCACUGUUGUAGUGGGCGGUAGGUAGGUUAUAUAGUCACUGUUGUAGUGGGUGGUAGGUAGGUUAUAUAGUCACUGUUGUAGUGGGCGGUAGGUAGGUUAUAUAGUCACUGUUGUAGUGGGCGGUAGGUAGGUUAUAGUCACUGUUGUAGUGGGCGGUAGGUAGGUUAUAGUCACUGUUGUAGUGGGCGGUAGGUAGGUUAUAUAGUCACUGUUGUAGUGGGCGGUAGGUAGGUUAUAUAGUCACUGUUGUAGUGGGCGGUAGGUAGGUUAUAUAGUCACUGUUGUAGUGGGUGGUAGGUAGGUUAUAUAGUCACUGUUGUAGUGGGCGGUAGGUAGGUUAUAUAGUCACUGUUGUAGUGGGUGGUAGGUAGGUUAUAUAGUCACUGUUGUAGUGGGCGGUAGGUAGGUUAUAUAGUCACUGUUGUAGUGGGCGGUAGGUAGGUUAUAUAGUCACUGUUGUAGUGGGCGGUAGGUAGGUUAUAUAGUCACUGUUGUAGUGGGCGGUAGGUAGGUUAUAUAGUCACUGUUGUAGUGGGCGGUAGGUAGGUUAUAUAGUCACUGUUGUAGUGGGCGGUAGGUAGGUUAUAUAGUCACUGUUGUAGUGGGCGGUAGGUAGGUUAUAUAGUCACUGUUGUAGUGGGCGGUAGGUAG